Molecule: ribosomal RNA, 497 nt
Filed under: uncultured bacterium
Lineage: Bacteria
Description: partial 16S ribosomal RNA
Rfam family: Bacterial small subunit ribosomal RNA
Source: RNAcentral
GAUGAACGCUGGCGGCGUGCCUAAUACAUGCCAGUCGAGCGAACAGACGAGGAGCUUGCUCCUCUGACGUUAGCGGCGGACGGGUGAGUAACACGUGGAUAACCUACCUAUAAGACUGGGAUAACUUCGGGAAACCGGAGCUAAUACCGGAUAAUAUAUUGAACCGCAUGGUUCAAUAGUGAAAGACGGUUUUGCUGUCACUUAUAGAUGGAUCCGCGCCGCAUUAGCUAGUUGGUAAGGUAACGGCUUACCAAGGCGACGAUGCGUAGCCGACCUGAGAGGGUGAUCGGCCACACUGGAACUGAGACACGGUCCAGACUCCUACGGGAGGCGGCAGUAGGGAAUCUUCCGCAAUGGGCGAAAGCCUGACGGAGCAACGCCGCGUGAGUGAUGAAGGUCUUCGGAUCGUAAAACUCUGUUAUUAGGGAAGAACAAAUGUGUAAGUAACUAUGCACGUCUUGACGGUACCUAAUCAGAAAGCCACGGCUAACUACGUG